This 381-nucleotide long non-coding RNA is filed under the name Fukomys damarensis (Damara mole-rat). Its description in RNAcentral is "lncRNA (ENSFDAG00000031935.1)". Lineage: Eukaryota; Metazoa; Chordata; Mammalia; Rodentia; Bathyergidae. The record is from RNAcentral.
GGGCACAAGGUGGCGCUCUAAGAGGCAGUGGAUUUGCAGUCCUAUGCAGGGCUGUCUGGUCCUAGGCUUUUCUGCUCUGGCAAGGGCCGCCUCCCUCUGCCUCCCCAGGGUGCAGUCAGGGCGGGCUGUGUGCAGCAGGCACACCGAGCACAGAGACCUGCAGGGCCCAGAGGAGGCAGAUUCUUGGAGUCACAAGAGCCAGUGACAUGAGUCUGGCCCAGCCCUCAGCCAGGCAGAGAUGGGAGACUUCAGAGCAAUGAGGACACCCACCUGCCCAUAACCAGCAUCCAACGGGCGCCAACCUGCAGGUCCAGAGCUCACCGGCAGAUGGCGCUGCUCCCAGGCCCGCUCCUCGUGGCCUUGCUGGCUCUGUGCUGGGGA